Molecule: ribosomal RNA, 1352 nt
Filed under: Salmonella enterica subsp. enterica serovar Mbandaka
Lineage: Bacteria; Pseudomonadati; Pseudomonadota; Gammaproteobacteria; Enterobacterales; Enterobacteriaceae
Description: partial 23S ribosomal RNA
Rfam family: Bacterial large subunit ribosomal RNA
Source: RNAcentral
UGUUUCGGCUAGGGGGCCAUCCCGGCUUACCAACCCGAUGCAAACUGCGAAUACCGGAGAAUGUUAUCACGGGAGACACACGGCGGGUGCUAACGUCCGUCGUGAAGAGGGAAACAACCCAGACCGCCAGCUAAGGUCCCAAAGUCAUGGUUAAGUGGGAAACGAUGUGGGAAGGCCCAGACAGCCAGGAUGUUGGCUUAGAAGCAGCCAUCAUUUAAAGAAAGCGUAAUAGCUCACUGGUCGAGUCGGCCUGCGCGGAAGAUGUAACGGGGCUAAACCAUGCACCGAAGCUGCGGCAGCGAACGUAUCACCCAAGACAACUUUACGGAGUUGACGAUUGACGGAGCGAAGCGACGUCAAAGCGUUCAUUAAAGUCGAGUUGGCUUAGGGAUACGUUCGUUGGGUAGGGGAGCGUUCUGUAAGCCUGUGAAGGUGGCCUGUGAGGGUUGCUGGAGGUAUCAGAAGUGCGAAUGCUGACAUAAGUAACGAUAAAGCGGGUGAAAAGCCCGCUCGCCGGAAGACCAAGGGUUCCUGUCCAACGUUAAUCGGGGCAGGGUGAGUCGACCCCUAAGGCGAGGCCGAAAGGCGUAGUCGAUGGGAAACGGGUUAAUAUUCCCGUACUUGGUGUUACUGCGAAGGGGGGACGGAGAAGGCUAUGUUGGCCGGGCGACGGUUGUCCCGGUUUAAGCGUGUAGGUGUGUGUUCCAGGUAAAUCCGGUUCACUUUAACACUGAGGCGUGACGACGAGGCACUACGGUGCUGAAGCAACAAAUGCCCUGCUUCCAGGAAAAGCCUCUAAGCAUCAGGUAACAUCAAAUCGUACCCCAAACCGACACAGGUGGUCAGGUAGAGAAUACCAAGGCGCUUGAGAGAACUCGGGUGAAGGAACUAGGCAAAAUGGUGCCGUAACUUCGGGAGAAGGCACGCUGACACGUAGGUGAAGUGAUUUACUCAUGGAGCUGAAGUCAGUCGAAGAUACCAGCUGGCUGCAACUGUUUAUUAAAAACACAGCACUGUGCAAACACGAAAGUGGACGUAUACGGUGUGACGCCUGCCCGGUGCCGGAAGGUUAAUUGAUGGGGUCAGCGCAAGCGAAGCUCCUGAUCGAAGCCCCGGUAAACGGCGGCCGUAACUAUAACGGUCCUAAGGUAGCGAAAUUCCUUGUCGGGUAAGUUCCGACCUGCACGAAUGGCGUAAUGAUGGCCAGGCUGUCUCCACCCGAGACUCAGUGAAAUUGAACUCGCUGUGAAGAUGCAGUGUACCCGCGGCAAGACGGAAAGACCCCGUGAACCUUUACUAUAGCUUGACACUGAACAUUGAGCCUUGAUGUGUAGGAUAGGUGGGAGGCUUUG